RNAcentral lists this ribosomal RNA (190 nucleotides) under Mycoplasma haemofelis. Its description in RNAcentral is "partial 16S ribosomal RNA". It matches the Rfam family "Bacterial small subunit ribosomal RNA", at positions 440 to 648 of the family's 1533-position model. The record is from RNAcentral. Lineage: Bacteria; Bacillati; Mycoplasmatota; Mollicutes; Mycoplasmatales; Mycoplasmataceae.
GAGGGAUAAUUAUGAUAGUACUUCGUGAAUAAGUGACAGCAAACUAUGUGCCAGCAGCUGCGGUAAUACAUAGGUCGCGAGCAUUAUUCGGAUUUAUUGGGCGUAAAGCAAGCGCAGGCGGAUGUGUAAGUUCUGUGUUAAAUGCAGCUACUCAAUAGUUGUAUGCACCGAAUACUACAUGUCUAGAUUG